This 578-nucleotide ribosomal RNA is filed under the name uncultured Nitrosospira sp. RNAcentral describes it as "bacterial SSU rRNA". It matches the Rfam family "Bacterial small subunit ribosomal RNA", at positions 790 to 1368 of the family's 1533-position model. Lineage: Bacteria; Pseudomonadati; Pseudomonadota; Betaproteobacteria; Nitrosomonadales; Nitrosomonadaceae. The record is from RNAcentral.
GUAGUCCACGCCCUAAACGAUGUCAACUAGUUGUCGGGUCUUAACGGACUUGGUAACGCAGCUAACGCGUGAAGUUGACCGCCUGGGGAGUACGGUCGCAAGAUUAAAACUCAAAGGAAUUGACGGGGACCCGCACAAGCGGUGGAUUAUGUGGAUUAAUUCGAUGCAACGCGAAAAACCUUACCUACCCUUGACAUGUGCCGAAGCCCGCCGAGAGGUGGGUGUGCCCGAAAGGGAACGGCAACACAGGUGCUGCAUGGCUGUCGUCAGCUCGUGUCGUGAGAUGUUGGGUUAAGUCCCGCAACGAGCGCAACCCUUGUCAUUAAUUGCCAUCAUUCAGUUGGGCACUUUAAUGAAACUGCCGGUGACAAACCGGAGGAAGGUGGGGAUGACGUCAAGUCCUCAUGGCCCUUAUGGGUAGGGCUUCACACGUAAUACAAUGGCGCGUACAGAGGGUUGCCAACCCGCGAGGGGGAGCUAAUCUCAGAAAGCGCGUCGUAGUCCGGAUCGGAGUCUGCAACUCGACUCCGUGAAGUCGGAAUCGCUAGUAAUCGCGGAUCAGCAUGUCGCGGUGAAUA